RNAcentral lists this ribosomal RNA (503 nucleotides) under uncultured bacterium. Its description in RNAcentral is "bacterial SSU rRNA". It matches the Rfam family "Bacterial small subunit ribosomal RNA", at positions 16 to 507 of the family's 1533-position model. The record is from RNAcentral.
AUCCUGGCUCAGGAUGAACGCUAGCUACAGGCUUAACACAUGCAAGUCGAGGGGAAACGAUAUUGGAAGCUUGCUUCCGAUAGGCGUCGACCGGCGCACGGGUGAGUAACGCGUAUCCAACCUGCCCAUCACUUGGGGAUAACCUUGCGAAAGUAAGACUAAUACCCAAUGACGUCUCUAGAAGACAUCUGAAGGAGAUUAAAGAUUUAUCGGUGAUGGAUGGGGAUGCGUCUGAUUAGCUUGUUGGCGGGUAACGGCCCACCAAGGCGACGAUCAGUAGGGGUUCUGAGAGGAAGGUCCCCCACAUUGGAACUGAGACACGGUCCAAACUCCUACGGGAGGCAGCAGUGAGGAAUAUUGGUCAAUGGGCGAGAGCCUGAACCAGCCAAGUAGCGUGCAGGAUGACGGCCCUAUGGGUUGUAAACUGCUUUUAUAAGGGAAUAAAGUGGGAGUCGUGACUCUUUUUGCAUGUACCUUAUGAAUAAGGACCGGCUAAUUCCGUG